CGGACGGGUGAGUAAUGUCUGGGAAACUGCCCGAUGGAGGGGGAUAACUACUGGAAACGGUAGCUAAUACCGCAUAACGUCGCAAGACCAAAGAGGGGGACCUUCGGGCCUCUUGCCAUCGGAUGUGCCCAGAUGGGAUUAGCUAGUAGGUGGGGUGAAGGCUCACCUAGGCGACGAUCCCUAGCUGGUCUGAGAGGAUGACCAGCCACACUGGAACUGAGACACGGUCCAG
Molecule: ribosomal RNA, 232 nt
Filed under: uncultured bacterium
Lineage: Bacteria
Description: partial 16S ribosomal RNA
Rfam family: Bacterial small subunit ribosomal RNA
Source: RNAcentral